GUUUGAUCCUGGCUCAGAACGAACGCUGGCGGCAGGCUUAACACAUGCAAGUCGAACGCCCCGCAAGGGGAGUGGCAGACGGGUGAGUAACACGUGGGAACAUACCCUUUGGUGCGGAACAACAGCUGGAAACGGCUGCUAAUACCGCAUGCGCCCUACGGGGGAAAGAUUUAUCGCCGAAGGAUUGGCCCGCGUCUGAUUAGCUAGUUGGUGAGGUAAUGGCUCACCAAGGCGACGAUCAGUAGCUGGUCUGAGAGGAUGAUCAGCCACACUGGGACUGAGACACGGCCCAGACUCCUACGGGAGGCAGCAGUGGGGAAUAUUGGACAAUGGGCGCAAGCCUGAUCCAGCCAUGCCGCGUGAGUGAUGAAGGCCUUAGGGUUGUAAAGCUCUUUCAGCGAGGAGGAUAAUGACGUUACUCGCAGAAGAAGCCCCGGCUAACUUCGUGCCAGCAGCCGCGGUAAUACGAAGGGGGCUAGCGUUGUUCGGAAUCACUGGGCGUAAAGCGCACGUAGGCGGACUUUUAAGUCAGGGGUGAAAUCCCGGGGCU
This 550-nucleotide ribosomal RNA is filed under the name uncultured Pannonibacter sp. RNAcentral describes it as "bacterial SSU rRNA". It matches the Rfam family "Bacterial small subunit ribosomal RNA", at positions 11 to 609 of the family's 1533-position model. Lineage: Bacteria; Pseudomonadati; Pseudomonadota; Alphaproteobacteria; Hyphomicrobiales; Stappiaceae. The record is from RNAcentral.